This 1216-nucleotide ribosomal RNA is filed under the name Vibrio harveyi. RNAcentral's name for it is "bacterial SSU rRNA". It matches the Rfam family "Bacterial small subunit ribosomal RNA", at positions 12 to 1207 of the family's 1533-position model. Lineage: Bacteria; Pseudomonadati; Pseudomonadota; Gammaproteobacteria; Vibrionales; Vibrionaceae. The record is from RNAcentral.
UUUGAUCAUGGCUCAGAUUGAACGCUGGCGGCAGGCCUAACACAUGCAAGUCGAGCGGAAACGAGUUAUCUGAACCUUCGGGGGACGAUAACGGCGUCGAGCGGCGGACGGGUGAGUAAUGCCUAGGAAAUUGCCCUGRUGUGGGGGAUAACCAUUGGAAACGAUGGCUAAUACCGCAUAACACCUUCGGGUCAAAGAGGGGGACCUUCGGGCCUCUCGCGUCAGGAUAUGCCUAGGUGGGAUUAGCUAGUUGGUGAGGUAAUGGCUCACCAAGGCGACGAUCCCUAGCUGGUCUGAGAGGAUGAUCAGCCACACUGGAACUGAGACACGGUCCAGACUCCUACGGGAGGCAGCAGUGGGGAAUAUUGCACAAUGGGCGCAAGCCUGAUGCAGCCAUGCCGCGUGUGUGAAGAAGGCCUUCGGGUUGUAAAGCACUUUCAGUCGUGAGGAAGGUAGUGUAGUUAAUAGCUGCAUUAUUUGACGUUAGCGACAGAAGAAGCACCGGCUAACUCCGUGCCAGCAGCCGCGGUAAUACGGAGGGUGCGAGCGUUAAUCGGAAUUACUGGGCGUAAAGCGCAUGCAGGUGGUUUGUUAAGUCAGAUGUGAAAGCCCGGGGCUCAACCUCGGAAUAGCAUUUGAAACUGGCAGACUAGAGUACUGUAGAGGGGGGUAGAAUUUCAGGUGUAGCGGUGAAAUGCGUAGAGAUCUGAAGGAAUACCGGUGGCGAAGGCGGCCCCCUGGACAGAUACUGACACUCAGAUGCGAAAGCGUGGGGAGCAAACAGGAUUAGAUACCCUGGUAGUCCACGCCGUAAACGAUGUCUACUUGGAGGUUGUGGCCUUGAGCCGUGGCUUUCGGAGCUAACGCGUUAAGUAGACCGCCUGGGGAGUACGGUCGCAAGAUUAAAACUCAAAUGAAUUGACGGGGGCCCGCACAAGCGGUGGAGCAUGUGGUUUAAUUCGAUGCAACGCGAAGAACCUUACCUACUCUUGACAUCCAGAGAACUUUCCAGAGAUGGAUUGGUGCCUUCGGGAACUCUGAGACAGGUGCUGCAUGGCUGUCGUCAGCUCGUGUUGUGAAAUGUUGGGUUAAGUCCCGCAACGAGCGCAACCCUUAUCCUUGUUUGCCAGCACUUCGGGUGGGAACUCCAGGGAGACUGCCGGUGAUAAACCGGAGGAAGGUGGGGACGACGUCAAGUCAUCAUGGCCCCUUACGA